Molecule: long non-coding RNA, 761 nt
Organism: Electrophorus electricus (electric eel)
Lineage: Eukaryota; Metazoa; Chordata; Actinopteri; Gymnotiformes; Gymnotidae
Source: Ensembl
UUUACAAGUUAAAACUUUCUAAAUCGUUUUAUGUUUAAACCUUUUAACAGUGCAAGUGAACAUUUCAUAUCUAUUUUGAAGUCCCUUUAUCCCUUAUGGACUCCCAGCAGUGCCUUCCUCUAACAUGCAGGCACAGGCAGCAGUCUGACGGAUCACUGCUGGUGGGGCCUGUCACAGUGCAGGACUCCGGCUGGCUGCUGUGUGUGGCCACGCAUGAGCGUGCGAGAGAUCAUCGCUACAUCUACCUGUCUGUCUCAGAGGUUGUUCAGGAGCCAUCGUUACCUCAGGACAGAGCAGAUCCCGCAGAUGCCCUGCCUACAGUCCCUCAUGCGCCCUUUCCCCGGUACUUCCCGUUAACCACACCUCCACCAGCAUAUGGACACACCUAAUGGUGCAUGGAACUAAGUGCUGUGGGUUCUGUCAGGUUCAGUAUCGACAGGGCGGGCUCGGCACUGGUUCAAGCGCGUGCCGCUCAGACAGCCAGACUGUACUGCACCGUUCUGCCCUCCUCUGCAGCUGCCUCAGUCAGAAUUCAGUGGACCAAAAACGGAGGCGUCCUUAACACUCCCAGACACUCCCAGGGCUCAGACGGAACACUGGCAAUUAACAACCUAAAAUCAGAUGAUUCUGGGCUCUACACAUGCACUGUCUCUCGCGGAGAACAGCUGGAGCAGCUGCAAAUCCAGCUCAAAGUUUUGGGUUUGAUACACCCUCCUUCUAAAUGCAGUAACUGUCAAAAGCAUACAGGUCCUCCCACUGCA